Molecule: long non-coding RNA, 212 nt
Filed under: Phoenix dactylifera (date palm)
Lineage: Eukaryota; Viridiplantae; Streptophyta; Magnoliopsida; Arecales; Arecaceae
Description: long non-coding RNA (PDAC_LNC001791)
Source: RNAcentral
CAAAAAUAUAUCCGUAUCCGAUUCGGUUGGAUAAUAUUCUCAUACUACAGACCUGUUUUUGUUAUUUUUGUUAUAGUGAUAAGAGCAUUUGCAAGAACACCCGAUGAACUCUUUGCAGUCCCAAGAAUGGCCUUGUCCGAGACUCCCACUUAUAGUUUUUGCUCGAGAAUCUAUCAAGUCAAUUAGGGGUGCAGAUGUUGCUAGCUGCUCAU